This 253-nucleotide ribosomal RNA is filed under the name uncultured bacterium. RNAcentral's name for it is "partial 16S ribosomal RNA". It matches the Rfam family "Bacterial small subunit ribosomal RNA", at positions 524 to 776 of the family's 1533-position model. The record is from RNAcentral. RNAcentral also lists the same sequence under 1 other name.
UACGUAGGCAGCAAGCGUUGUUCGGAGUUACUGGGCGUAAAGGGUGUGUAGGCGGUUCUUUAAGUUUGGUGUGAAAUCUCCCGGCUUAACCGGGAGGGUGCGCCGAAUACUGAGGGACUAGAGUACGGGAGAGGAAAGUGGAAUUCCUGGUGUAGCGGUGAAAUGCGUAGAUAUCAGGAGGAACACCGGUGGUGUAGACGGCUUUCUGGACCGUAACUGACGCUGAGACACGAAAGCGUGGGUAGCAAACAGG